CAUUUAGAGGAAGUAAAAGUCGUAACAAGGUUUCCGUAGGUGAACCUGCGGAAGGAUCAUUACCGAGUUCAUGCCCUUACGGGUAGAUCUCCCACCCUUUGUAUACUAUACCUUUGUUGCUUUGGCGGGCCGCCUAGCUACUGGCUUCGGCUGGUAAGUGCCCGCCAGAGGACCCAAAACCCUGAAUUAUUAGUGUCGUCUGAGUAAAAAAGUUAAUAUUUAAAACUUUCAACAACGGAUCUCUUGGCUCUGGCAUCGAUGAAGAACGCAGCGAAAUGCGAUAAGUAAUGUGAAUUGCAGAAUUCAGUGAAUCAUCGAAUCUUUGAACGCACAUUGCGCCCCUUGGUAUUCCGAGGGGCAUGCCUAUUCGAGCGUCAUUAUCACCCCUCAAGCCUAGCUUGGUGUUGGGGCUUGCUGUAAAGGCAGCCUCUAAAAUCAGUGGCAGUGCUGUCAGGCUCUAAGCGUAGUAAAUUCAUCGCUAUAGGGUCCUGGUGGAUACUCGUCAAAACCCCCCAUUUUUAAUGAUUGACCUCGGAUUAGGUAGGGAUACCCGCUGAACUUAAGCAUAUCAA
This 572-nucleotide ribosomal RNA is filed under the name uncultured Tetracladium. RNAcentral describes it as "eukaryotic LSU rRNA". The stretch from base 224 to 377 matches the Rfam family "5.8S ribosomal RNA". The record is from RNAcentral. Lineage: Eukaryota; Fungi; Ascomycota.